UAUUGACUGGAGAGGGCAUUAGGCGGAGAAGUUGAAGCAGAGAGAACAAAAGCAAUUCCGAAUCCGGGACUAGAGGAAUCAUCAGGGAGUACAGAGAAGAUGAACUGGGUAGAGAAAGAGGAAGAAAUUGAAGUGGAAUUUGAAGCGGAUUUUAUAGGAAUUUGAGAUGGGUAAAAAGCUCGGCCAAGGGAAAAUUGGUUGGAGUCAUUUGUGAGGCGGAUAACUGGUGGCUCAAGGCGGGCAUCGUCGAUGAGGGUGAGUGCAGGGGUGGUGUUAGCAGUGAAGGAGUUGAAGAGAAAUUCGAUGGCGAAAAUGGAUGGGAAGAUUGUAAAAUUGAUGAGAAUGAACAACAGUGAUAA
Molecule: unclassified non-coding RNA, 359 nt
Filed under: Hevea brasiliensis (rubber tree)
Lineage: Eukaryota; Viridiplantae; Streptophyta; Magnoliopsida; Malpighiales; Euphorbiaceae
Source: RNAcentral